Molecule: long non-coding RNA, 533 nt
Organism: Macadamia integrifolia
Lineage: Eukaryota; Viridiplantae; Streptophyta; Magnoliopsida; Proteales; Proteaceae
Exons: 2
Source: RefSeq, a predicted model, not a curated record
UUGAGCAAUGAGGUCAGGAGGAGUAAGUCAAGCUAAAGCUCUAAGGAUGGCUGUUUCUAUUUCUGCAAUGGGAGAUGGUUCUUUGCACCACUUACGUGGUUGAUAACUCCCAAGGUUGAGGUCUUUAUCCGGAGCUUUCUGACUGGACCAAAGUAUUCAACUACGACAAUCCAGACUAUCGCGUGGCUGUAGUGGACGAGGCUGGGUACACUAAAUGCCUAGCAGACCCAUAUGCGAAGAUAUAUGAUUCGGGGCAUGAUCAGAUUCAAGUUGGGCCUGAAGACAACUUCUACAUCGCUGCUGUCUCAGAAAACUGCAAUAAGGGAAUGAAACUUCUAGUUUAUGGAGAGACAUCAUGAACAUGAACAUCUACUUCAAAACAACUACUUUUUACUUUAGAAUAAUUUCUAAUAAAGGGUUAAUUAUGUGGUCAUAUACUCAUGCCUGUAAUAUAUUUACCCUUUGAAAAGGAAUAAAAGUAAAGAAGGGAAUGCAAAUUUUAGUUUUGGUGAUGUUCCCAUCACCAAACUCCA